This 2128-nucleotide long non-coding RNA is filed under the name Ornithorhynchus anatinus (platypus). Its description in RNAcentral is "lncRNA (ENSOANG00000042820.1)". The record is from RNAcentral. Lineage: Eukaryota; Metazoa; Chordata; Mammalia; Monotremata; Ornithorhynchidae.
GGCCAACAGUGCUAGUGCCCAUUCCCUUCCUGUCCCUUCAGCCCCCUCCUCCUCCAGCCUGCCAUCAGCUCCCUCUCUCUGAAGGUCUCUCAGGAUUCAGGAACCAGGGAACCUCAGAGAUCACAUUUCUCGUUUCUGCCUAGCUGGGGGUGAGACAAGGGAUCUCAGGGGUCCCAUACAGGAAUUUAUUAAUCGAUGGACAAGUUAAAAGUGGAAAAAGACCAACACUUUAGAGAGUAAUCCCUUAGGGCCAGAUGGCCAUCUGCAGCCCUUCCUAUGCCUUUUUAGACUGGAACAAAAUGAAGGCUGCUGCCUGCACUGCCCAAAUCUUUUGAUUCCCAACUUGGCAGAGCUCUCUGGGGGCUUCUCACCCCUCCCUUUGCCUCUGAGCAGGGUGAUUCUUCAGACAGCCCAAACCCCAAAUCUCCUUCCGGAAAGAGGAAAUAGGAGCAUAGAGCCAGAGUUAAUGCAGGGUUCGCGGUUAAGCAGUGCCUAUCCUAAGCUUAAUGAGUGUUGGUGCUCUUCCAGAAGAGUUUUCACAGACUUACAUCUCCUAAUGGGCUCCUUCAGUGGGCAGAGCUGCAAGUACAUACACCUGUGGUCACAGCUGACAGCUUCCCUCCUUUCUCCUCCAGCAACAGACAUAAAUCCCUAGAAAGGACUCCAAGUAGGUCUUCAGUUCAGGCCUAUCAGGUCAACUUGAGAGGAGAGACAGAGAGAGAAAGAGAAAAAGAGAACAGCUCCAUGUGGCUCCAGCAUGAUCUGCCGCGAAUUCCAAGACAGAGAGCAGAUGAUGCCAAUCUAUGGGCAAGGCCCAGUUUGGUGCCACAGUCCACCGAGAGGUUUCUUUGCCUCUGAUUUCUUUGGUGGGAAAUCAAGGUCCAGAUUGCCUCUGGCCCUGUAAGGAUUGGAGCAAGACAGCCAGGAGAGGAAGGAGUAUACAAGCCACCAUGGAGAUGAACUUCCUGAGGAGAAGUCAUGCCAACACUGGUUUAUCCAAUUCUCCCAGCCUACCAUACCCCCAUGGUCACCGCUGACUGGAUCACCAAGUAAAAGCAUCAGGAACCCUACCAUCCUCCCUGCACGUCACCCAGACUGAGCCUCUGCUCCCAGCAGGCCGGGCACCUGUGGGCCACAAGAAACUCAAACUAUGGCUCCCCGCUUCCCCGGCCUCCCACCCCACUGGACGGAUAAGCGAAACCACUGCUUGUGCUGCCCGGGGACAGUACUCCCAGUAUGCCUUGCACCUGAAGGACAUGAGGGACUCAAGCUGUGGCAGCAAAAGACCACUUAAGGCUGAAGUCACUUGGGAGGUUUGGCCGUGACUGGACUCUGGGUGACCUUGAUGGCAGCACCUCAAGGGCCACACAGAUUCCCUUCACCACCCUGACACCUGUUGGGCUCUGAGCUUUGCCCUUUAUGUUGUUUUGUUGUUUGGAUUGUUUUCUUCUUUUCUCACGUCUGUCACCAUUGUUCUGUGAGCCCGGGGAGGACUGGGGACUGUACCUAAUUUGUAUAGCACUUUACACACAGUAGGUAGUUCAAUAAAUACUAUCACUACCACUCCUGCUACUAUUACCCUCUUCCAGAGAGAUGGUACUUUGACUCCAGAUGUAAAGCGACAACACCCGGACUGUACUAGGACAGAGGUACCACUGUGGCCUACAGGCAAACUGGCAAAUGGGCUCAGCCUGCUCACUGAACAGGGCAUAGGCAAAGGGGAGGCAAAGGCAGAGAGAAAGGUGGGGCACUGGUCCAGGAGGAAAGGGGGAGUGUACUUCUAAGAGGGCAUCUCUGUGACUGUUUAUGUGAAUGUGAUUGUGUUUCUAGUCAGUUUGGUAUGGUAUUACUAAACACUAUGUGCCAAGCACUGUGCUUAGAGGAGACAAAAUUGCUGUCCCAUAUGUUUCAGCCCCAUAGCACUUAUGUACAUAUCCAUAAUUUAUUUAUAUUAAUGCCUGUCUCCCUCUCUAGACUGUAGGCUCCUUGUGAUGAUGAUGGUAUUUGUUAAAUGCUUACUAUGUGCCAAGCACUGUUCUGGGCAGGGGAUGUCUCUACCAACUGUGUUGUACUGCACUACCCCAGGAGCUUAAUUUAGUACAGUGUCUGCACAUCCUAAGAAGUCAAU